Molecule: ribosomal RNA, 488 nt
Filed under: uncultured bacterium
Lineage: Bacteria
Description: partial 16S ribosomal RNA
Rfam family: Bacterial small subunit ribosomal RNA
Source: RNAcentral
AUUGAACGCUGGCGGCAAGCCUAACACAUGCAAGUCGAGCGGGGUUUUCGGACCUAGCGGCGGACGGGUGAGUAAUGCGUAGGAAGCUGCCCGAUAGAGGGGGAUACCAGUUGGAAACGACUGUUAAUACCGCAUAAUGUCUACGGACCAAAGUGUGGGACCUUCGGGCCACAUGCUAUCGGAUGCGCCUACGUGGGAUUAGCUAGUUGGUGAGGUAAUGGCUCACCAAGGCGACGAUCUCUAGCUGGUUUGAGAGGAUGAUCAGCCACACUGGAACUGAGACACGGUCCAGACUCCUACGGGAGGCAGCAGUGGGGAAUAUUGGACAAUGGGCGUAAGCCUGAUCCAGCCAUGCCGCGUGUGUGAAGAAGGCCUUCGGGUUGUAAAGCACUUUCAGCGAGGAGGAAGGGUGGUGUGUUAAUAGCACAUCAUUUUGACGUUACUCGCAGAAGAAGCACCGGCUAACUCUGUGCCAGCCGCCGCGGUAA